UACGGAGGGUGCAAGCGUUAUCCGGAUUCACUGGGUUUAAAGGGUGCGUAGGCGGCUAUAUAAGUCAGUGGUGAAAGCCCGCAGCUCAACUGCGGAACUGCCAUUGAAACUGCAUAGCUUGAAUCUGGUUGAAGUGGGCGGAAUACAUCAUGUAGCGGUGAAAUGCUUAGAUAUGAUGUAGAACACCGAUUGCGAAGGCAGCUCACUAAGCCAACAUUGACGCUGAGGCACGAAAGCGUGGGGAUCAAACAGG
Molecule: ribosomal RNA, 253 nt
Filed under: uncultured bacterium
Lineage: Bacteria
Description: partial 16S ribosomal RNA
Rfam family: Bacterial small subunit ribosomal RNA
Source: RNAcentral